RNAcentral lists this ribosomal RNA (1553 nucleotides) under Staphylococcus aureus. Its description in RNAcentral is "bacterial SSU rRNA". It matches the Rfam family "Bacterial small subunit ribosomal RNA". The record is from RNAcentral. Lineage: Bacteria; Bacillati; Bacillota; Bacilli; Caryophanales; Staphylococcaceae.
UUUAUGGAGAGUUUGAUCCUGGCUCAGGAUGAACGCUGGCGGCGUGCCUAAUACAUGCAAGUCGAGCGAACGGACGAGAAGCUUGCUUCUCUGAUGUUAGCGGCGGACGGGUGAGUAACACGUGGAUAACCUACCUAUAAGACUGGGAUAACUUCGGGAAACCGGAGCUAAUACCGGAUAAUAUUUUGAACCGCAUGGUUCAAAAGUGAAAGACGGUCUUGCUGUCACUUAUAGAUGGAUCCGCGCUGCAUUAGCUAGUUGGUAAGGUAACGGCUUACCAAGGCAACGAUGCAUAGCCGACCUGAGAGGGUGAUCGGCCACACUGGAACUGAGACACGGUCCAGACUCCUACGGGAGGCAGCAGUAGGGAAUCUUCCGCAAUGGGCGAAAGCCUGACGGAGCAACGCCGCGUGAGUGAUGAAGGUCUUCGGAUCGUAAAACUCUGUUAUUAGGGAAGAACAUAUGUGUAAGUAACUGUGCACAUCUUGACGGUACCUAAUCAGAAAGCCACGGCUAACUACGUGCCAGCAGCCGCGGUAAUACGUAGGUGGCAAGCGUUAUCCGGAAUUAUUGGGCGUAAAGCGCGCGUAGGCGGUUUUUUAAGUCUGAUGUGAAAGCCCACGGCUCAACCGUGGAGGGUCAUUGGAAACUGGAAAACUUGAGUGCAGAAGAGGAAAGUGGAAUUCCAUGUGUAGCGGUGAAAUGCGCAGAGAUAUGGAGGAACACCAGUGGCGAAGGCGACUUUCUGGUCUGUAACUGACGCUGAUGUGCGAAAGCGUGGGGAUCAAACAGGAUUAGAUACCCUGGUAGUCCACGCCGUAAACGAUGAGUGCUAAGUGUUAGGGGGUUUCCGCCCCUUAGUGCUGCAGCUAACGCAUUAAGCACUCCGCCUGGGGAGUACGACCGCAAGGUUGAAACUCAAAGGAAUUGACGGGGACCCGCACAAGCGGUGGAGCAUGUGGUUUAAUUCGAAGCAACGCGAAGAACCUUACCAAAUCUUGACAUCCUUUGACAACUCUAGAGAUAGAGCUUUCCCCUUCGGGGACAAAGUGACAGGUGGUGCAUGGUUGUCGUCAGCUCGUGUCGUGAGAUGUUGGGUUAAGUCCCGCAACGAGCGCAACCCUUAAGCUUAGUUGCCAUCAUUAAGUUGGGCACUCUAAGUUGACUGCCGGUGACAAACCGGAGGAAGGUGGGGAUGACGUCAAAUCAUCAUGCCCCUUAUGAUUUGGGCUACACACGUGCUACAAUGGACAAUACAAAGGGCAGCGAAACCGUGAGGUCAAGCAAAUCCCAUAAAGUUGUUCUCAGUUCGGAUUGUAGUCUGCAACUCGACUACAUGAAGCUGGAAUCGCUAGUAAUCGUAGAUCAGCAUGCUACGGUGAAUACGUUCCCGGGUCUUGUACACACCGCCCGUCACACCACGAGAGUUUGUAACACCCGAAGCCGGUGGAGUAACCUUUUAGGAGCUAGCCGUCGAAGGUGGGACAAAUGAUUGGGGUGAAGUCGUAACAAGGUAGCCGUAUCGGAAGGUGCGGCUGGAUCACCUCCUUUCU